RNAcentral lists this ribosomal RNA (465 nucleotides) under uncultured bacterium. Its description in RNAcentral is "partial 16S ribosomal RNA". It matches the Rfam family "Bacterial small subunit ribosomal RNA", at positions 28 to 507 of the family's 1533-position model. The record is from RNAcentral.
GACGAACGCUGGCGGCGUGCUUAACACAUGCAAGUCGAACGGAAAGGCCCUGCUUGCAGGGUACUCGAGUGGCGAACGGGUGAGUAACACGUGGGUGAUCUGCCCUGCACUUCGGGAUAAGCCUGGGAAACUGGGUCUAAUACCGGAUAGGAGCCAUUUUUAGUGUGAUGGUUGGAAAGUUUUUUCGGUGUAGGAUGAGCUCGCGGCCUAUCAGCUUGUUGGUGGGGUAAUGGCCUACCAAGGCGGCGACGGGUAGCCGGCCUGAGAGGGUGGACGGCCACAUUGGGACUGAGAUACGGCCCAGACGCCUACGGGAGGCAGCAGGGGGGAAUAUUGCACAAUGGGCGCAAGCCUGAUGCAGCGACGCCGCGUGGGGGAUGACGGCCUUCGGGUUGUAAACUCCUUUCGCUAGGGACGAAGCUUUUUGUGACGGUACCUGGAUAAGAAGCACCGGCUAACUACGUG